This 655-nucleotide ribosomal RNA is filed under the name Lactiplantibacillus plantarum. Its description in RNAcentral is "bacterial SSU rRNA". It matches the Rfam family "Bacterial small subunit ribosomal RNA", at positions 247 to 885 of the family's 1533-position model. The record is from RNAcentral. Lineage: Bacteria; Bacillati; Bacillota; Bacilli; Lactobacillales; Lactobacillaceae.
AGAUGUGGGGUAACCGCUCACCAUGGCAAUGAUACGUAACCGACCUUAAGAGGUUAAUCGGCCACAUUGGGACUGAAACACCGCCCCAAAACUCCUACGGGAGGCAGCAGUAGGGAAUCUUCCACAAUGGACGAAAGUCUGAUGGAGCAACGCCGCGUGAGUGAAGAAGGGUUUCGGCUCGUAAAACUCUGUUGUUAAAGAAGAACAUAUCUGAGAGUAACUGUUCAGGUAUUGACGGUAUUUAACCAGAAAGCCACGGCUAACUACGUGCCAGCAGCCGCGGUAAUACGUAGGUGGCAAGCGUUGUCCGGAUUUAUUGGGCGUAAAGCGAGCGCAGGCGGUUUUUUAAGUCUGAUGUUGAAACUUCGGCUCAACCGAAGAAGUGCAUCGGAAACUGGGAAACUUGAGUGCAGAAGAGGACAGUGGAACUCCAUGUGUAGCGGUGAAAGUGCGUAGAGUAUAUGGAAGAACAGCCGAGUGCGGAAGGCGGCUGUCUGGUCUGUAACUGACGCUGAGGCGUCGAAAGUAUGGGUAGCAAACGGGAUUAGAUACCCUGGUAGUCCAUACGCGUAAACGAUGAGAUGCUAAGUGUUGGAGGGUUUCCGCCCUUCAGUGCUGCACUAAGCGCAUUAGAGCAUUGCGCCUGGGAGUACGG